GACGAACGCUGGCGGCGUGCUUAACACAUGCAAGUCGAACGGAAAGGCCCUGCUUUUGUGGGGUGCUCGAGUGGCGAACGGGUGAGUAACACGUGAGUAACCUGCCCUUGACUUUGGGAUAACUUCAGGAAACUGGGGCUAAUACCGGAUAGGAGCUCCUGCUGCAUGGUGGGGGUUGGAAAGUUUCGGCGGUUGGGGAUGGACUCGCGGCUUAUCAGCUUGUUGGUGGGGUAGUGGCUUACCAAGGCUUUGACGGGUAGCCGGCCUGAGAGGGUGACCGGCCACAUUGGGACUGAGGUACGGCCCCGACUCCUACGGGGGGCAGCAGUGGGGAAUAUUGCACAAUGGGCGGAAGCCUGAUGCAGCAACGCCGCGUGCGGGAUGACGGCCUUCGGGUUGUAAACCGCUUUCGCCUGUGACGAAGCGUGAGUGACGGUAAUGGGUAAAGAAGCACCGGCUAACUACGUG
RNAcentral lists this ribosomal RNA (468 nucleotides) under uncultured bacterium. RNAcentral's name for it is "partial 16S ribosomal RNA". It matches the Rfam family "Bacterial small subunit ribosomal RNA", at positions 28 to 507 of the family's 1533-position model. The record is from RNAcentral.